RNAcentral lists this ribosomal RNA (526 nucleotides) under uncultured Actinomycetes bacterium. Its description in RNAcentral is "bacterial SSU rRNA". It matches the Rfam family "Bacterial small subunit ribosomal RNA", at positions 787 to 1312 of the family's 1533-position model. Lineage: Bacteria; Bacillati; Actinomycetota; Actinomycetes. The record is from RNAcentral.
GGGUUAGUCCAUGCCGUAAACGUUGGGCGCUAGGUGUGGGGCUCUAUCCACGAGUUCCGUGCCGCAGCUAACGCAUUAAGCGCCCCGCCUGGGGAGUACGGCCGCAAGGCUAAAACUCCAAAGGAAUUGACGGGGGCCCGCACAAGCGGCGGAGCAUGCGGAUUAAUUCGAUGCAACGCGAAGAACCUUACCAAGGCUUGACAUACGCCGGAAACACCCAGAGAUGGGUGCCCCGCAAGGUCGGUGUACAGGUGGUGCAUGGUUGUCGUCAGCUCGUGUCGUGAGAUGUUGGGUUAAGUCCCGCAACGAGCGCAACCCUCGUUCUAUGUUGCCAGCGGGUAGUGCCGGGGACUCAUAGGAGACUGCCGGGGUCAACUCGGAGGAAGGUGGGGAUGACGUCAAAUCAUCAUGCCCCUUAUGUCUUGGGCUUCACGCAUGCUACAAUGGCCGGUACAAAGGGCUGCGAAACCGCGAGGUGGAGCGAAUCCCAAAAAGCCGGUCUCAGUUCGGAUUGGGGUCUGCAACU